UGUUUGUGAUUUUUUUAUAGAUUGUUAAACCUUAUGUGCCAGAAAACGUAUAUAAAGUGCUUCAAAUUUAUGUCCCUCAAGUGGUUGAAACGAGACCACUUGAGGAAACAGAUGAACAUUUGUAUGAAAAUGAGCUGGAAAUCUACGACGAUAUUCCAGAAAUAGACGACGAACAAGUACGUAUACUUGACAGAAUUGUUAGAAGAAUAGAUGAUCAUUUACAGAAUGAAUUUGGUACGCCGAGGAGAACAAAUGGUUUAGCAAGUAAUGUUAGACGUAUAGUAUGUUUUGGUUGUUGUUUGUGUGAUGAACAAAGCGAGCACGAUCAUUGUUGUGUAACAACCGUGUGCCCGUACGUGCAAGAACUAUUUGAACGGUGCCGCGGUUGUUGCUAUUGUAUUUAAAAAAAAUAUGUAAAUUGUAUAUAUGUAAAAUAAAAAAUUCAUUUAUCAAAA
Hydra vulgaris (swiftwater hydra) is the source of this 455-nucleotide non-coding RNA. The record is from RefSeq and is a predicted model, not a curated record. NCBI's taxonomy places the organism in Eukaryota, Metazoa, Cnidaria, Hydrozoa, Anthoathecata, Hydridae.